GUGGGGAAUUUUGGACAAUGGGGGAAACCCUGAUCCAGCGAUGCCGCGUGUGUGAAGAAGGCCUUCGGGUUGUAAAGCACUUUUAGUUGGGACGAGAAGGUUAUCUUGAAUAAAGGUAAUUGGAGACGGUACCGACGGAAUAAGCACCGGCAAACUCUGUGCCAGCAGCCGCGGUAAUACAGAGGGUGCAAGCGUUAAUCGGAAUGACUGGGCGUAAAGGGCGCGUAGGCGGUUAGAUAAAUGAGUGGUGAAAGCUCUGGGCUUAACCUGGAGAAGAAUAUUCAGACUGUCUGACUAGAGUACAGGAGAGGAGAGUGGAAUUUCUGGAGUAGCGGUAGAAUGCGUAGAGAUCAGAAAGAACACCGGAGGCGAAAGCGGCUCUCUGGACUGUAACUGACGCUGAAGUGCGAAAGCGUGGGGAGCAAACAGGAUUAGAAACCCUUGUAGUCC
This 450-nucleotide ribosomal RNA is filed under the name uncultured bacterium. RNAcentral describes it as "bacterial SSU rRNA". It matches the Rfam family "Bacterial small subunit ribosomal RNA", at positions 354 to 796 of the family's 1533-position model. The record is from RNAcentral.